Molecule: ribosomal RNA, 220 nt
Filed under: Clostridiales bacterium
Lineage: Bacteria; Bacillati; Bacillota; Clostridia; Eubacteriales
Description: partial 16S ribosomal RNA
Rfam family: Bacterial small subunit ribosomal RNA
Source: RNAcentral
UAAACACAAGAGUUUGAUCCUGGCUCAGGACGAACGCUGGCGGCGUGCCUAACACAUGCAAGUCGAGCGGAGUUAACAGAAGGAAGUUUUCGGAUGGAAUUUUGUUAACUUAGCGGCGGACGGUGAGUAACGCGUGAGCAACCUGCCUUUCACAGGGGGAUAAGGCGGCGAAAGCCGCUCUAAUACCGCAUGAGACCACAGUGGUGAUGCUACAGGGGUC